This 106-nucleotide ribosomal RNA is filed under the name Camelus dromedarius (Arabian camel). RNAcentral also lists the same sequence under 1 other name. Lineage: Eukaryota; Metazoa; Chordata; Mammalia; Artiodactyla; Camelidae. The record is from RNAcentral.
GUCAACGGCCGUACCACCCUGAACGCACCCGAUCUCGGCUGAUCUCGGAAGCUACGCAGGGUCCAGGGUUGGGCCUGGUUAGUACUUGGAUCGGGUGCUGCAGGCU